AAACACAAUUUACAUUGAAGAAUGCAAAGGGACGAUAUUUACCUACAUGUUCACUGCCUCACUCCUGGCGAAGCAACUGCUGAGUGUGUGCCCCUGAAAGGAUGCUGUUUUCUCGGCUCAAGCCAUUUUCUGCACGCACCCCCUCUUUCUAUGAAUAUAGCGAUGACUGCUGCGUACGCUUCCCACACCCUGCGGCGAGGUGCGGUGCCCGCUCAGAGCCAGCUGCCCCCCAAGCCAGGCCGCUCCGUGGGGUGCGGGGGAGCAGCCACUUUGGAGCUGAGUGUUUCCCGCUUUUGAGUUGUCCUGACAUCCUUCUUGAAAUGACUGUUAAAACUAAAAUAAAUUACACUGCAUUUAUUUUAUAUUCUUGGUUGUAAUAAAAUUUAAUUGACUUUGUUUCUAUGUGGAUCUUUUAAGGAUAGAAAAACUCCCGUUCACAAGCUUUAGUGUCACAAUUUCAUCUGUAGGCCUAGAAGCUCUUGAGAUUAUACUCCGCCCUGUAGAGAUGCAAAAUCUCCCUGGGAGUUGCAAUAUGUUAUUUUAUUCAGGAUGCUUAUGAUGUCACAAAACCACAGACACCAUGCUUACAUAUACCUCAGAAGCAGAAUUACAGGUUUUAAGACAUAUCUUGGGAAAGCAUCCCUUUUAUAAAAAAGAAAAAAAGUUAGAAUGAUGUUUUUGAAAAAGCAAAUAGGCAGCAUUUUGUGGGUAGAGUGGCAUUGGGUUUUUCUCCUUUUUAUAAGAACACUCCGUUUUACCUGGCUGCCCCUUAUAAUCUACUUGAUGAAUCUAAUAUGGUUGCUCCAACGGUCAAGGGCAUCAUGGAGUGAACUGAAGAAUGUUUAAAUGGCAUAAACACAAAGCUUCCAUUUCUAUUUAAAAUAGAUAUUGCACGUGUCCAGUUGCUUCACUGCUUGACACAGACUGUAUAUAUAUUCAAUACAGUGCUAUUUGUAGGGUAGAGCUGCUCUUGGAAAACUGUUCUUUGACCAUAGCUGCAUUUCUUUCUUAUAAAAAAAAAAAAAAAUUUUUUUUUUUUUAAUUUGAUAGCACAAGCAGGGAGAGAGGCAGAGGGAAAGGAAGAAACAGACUCCCCAUGGAGCAGGGAGCCCAACGUGGGCCUCCAUCUCAGGACCCUGAAAUCAUGACCUGAGCUGAAAGCAGAUUCUUAACUGAUGGAGCUACCCAGGCGCCCCAUAGCUGCCUUUCUAACCAGCCACCUGAGUAAUAGGAUGUGGAUGACUGUACAAACUCCUUACCACUCCUGGGAAAAUCCAUUUUGAAAGUAGGGGUCUAUGUCCUUAGCCAACUAUAAGUUAUUUGUGGAUAGCCCCUGGGUUUGAUUCCUCCUCCACUCCCAGCAUCUGUCAUGACACCCCACACAGAACAGACAAUUAAUAGGGCAAGUCAUUAGCAUCAUUUUUUUUUUUUUUUUACCUUGGCAUAGAAUUCCUGGAUCAUAUUAAAUGGUGGGCAUUUUAAAGCCAUCACUUUAUCCUGCAGGUGAUAGAAAGCCAGCUUGGACAAGAAAAACACAAGCCUAAUAGGAACAUUUGUUCAAUUAUUCUAAAUGAGAGAAUAUAGGGGACAGAGACAAAAAUACUGACUUAAAUGUAUUAAGUACAUUACUUCUGCUUUUUCAGGCUUUUUCUGCUGCUUAGAUUUUUUUCCAGAAAGUACUACUGAAUAUAAAAGUGCUGAUUUGUAUCCCUUCAAAAUCCUUACAGUGAAGCCCUUAUCCCCAGUGUGGCUAUAUUUGGAGAUGAGACCUUUAUCCAAGUAAUUAAAGUUAAAUGAAGUCAAAAGGAUAGGAUCUUGAUUUAAAAAAAAAAAAAAAAAAAAAGAUAAAACCCUGAUCUAAAAUGGUUAGUUUCCUUGUAAGAAGAAAACACUAGGGAGCUCUCUUCCCCUACCUUCUCUCUCCUUACAGCCUUCUCUCCCUACCAUGUGAGAACACAGCAAGAAGGUUGUCAUCUUCAAGCCAGGAAGACAGCCUUCAACAGAAACCAAACCCUGCCAGACCUUGAUCUCGGACUUCCCAGCCUUCAGAACUGUGAGAAAAUAAAUUCUGUUGUUGAAGUUAUCCGGUUGAUGGUAUUUGGUUGGUUACAGCAACUCAUGCAGACUAAUAGAGAUUUUGGUACCAAGACAUGGGGUACUGCUGUAAACAAGUACCUAAACGUGUGGCAGUAGCUCAUGGAGUCUGGAGGUAAAUGCUAGAAAUAAGAAAUUUUAGAGGUAAUUCUGGUGGGGGCUUAGAAAGAAGAGAGGAGAGCUGGAGAGAAAGCUUCCAUCUUCUUAGAGAACACAUCAAUAAUCAUGAACAGAAUGUUGGUAGAAUAAUGGACGUGAAAGCCAUUCUGGUGAGAUCUCAGAUGGAAAUAAGGAACAGGUCAUUGGAAACUAGAGAAAAGGCAAUCUUUGUUACAAACCUGCAAAAAACUUGGCCAAAUUUUUCUCUAGUGUUUUAUGGAAGGUAGGAUUUUUGAGGGGUGAAAUUUCAUUUUGUUGCUAUAUAUAGAAAUACUAUUGCCUUUUGCAUAUUGCCUUUAUAUCCUGCAACAUUGCCAAUUUCACUGCUCUGAUAGCUUGUCGUGUGUGUGUGUGUGUGUGUGUGUGUGUGUGAGAGAGAGAGAGAGAGAGAGAGAGAGGAUUCCCUUAGAUUCUUUAUAUAUACAAUCAUGUCAUCUGUGAAUAAAGAUAGUUGUACUUCUUCCUUUCUGAUUUAAAGAAUUUUUAUUUAUUUUUCUUGCCUAAAUGCAUGGGCUAGCAGUUCUAAUACAAUGUUGAAAAAGAACAAAUAUGAGUGAACACUUUGUAAGGUUCUUAGUCUUAGAGAGAAAGUAUUCCUAUAUUUCACCAUUAGAUAUGGUGUUAGAUAAAAGCUUCUCAUAGAUGCCCUUAUUCAAAUAGAGGAAAUUUCUUUCUACUUCACCUUUGACAAAAGUUUUAAUCACAAACAGAUGCUGCAUUGUGUUAAAUGCCUUUCCUGCAUAUGAAAUGAUUAUGUGAUUUUUCUCCUUUAUGUUGUUAAUAUGAUGAAUUCCAUUAAAAAAAUAUCUUUGACGAGAGGUGCCUGGCUGGCUCAGUCGGAAGAGCAUGCGACUCUUGAUCUUGAGGGUUGUGAGUUUGAGCUUCACGUUGGGCAUAGCGAUUCCUUAAAUAAAUAAACAUAAAAAAAUUUUUUUUGGCUUAGCACAAACAAAUUUAUUAUCUCACAGUUUAUGUGGGUCAGGAGUGUGGUCAUGCAUUGACUGGGUCCUCUGCUGAGGGUCUCACCAGAUCUCAGGGUGACAGCUGGGACUUUAAGCUCAUUAAAAACUUGGGGUUCUCUUCCAAGAUCACGUUUUUGGCAGAUUUCAGCUCCUGUGGUUGUAGGACUUGCCUGUAGGAGGACCAUCCCCAGCUCCUAGAGACUGUACUUUGCCAUGUGGCCUUUUCCACAACAUGUGGUUGGCUUCUUGGAGGCUGCCAGGAGAAUUCCUCUUUAGUCUGUUACAGUGUUUUAUACCACAUAAUGUAAUCACUGAUGUGCCUAUUCCAUCAUAUUCACAAGUCCUGUUCAAACGAGGGGAAUUAUGUAGGAUGUGUAUCGGGCUAUGCUGACUGAUUUUUGAAUGUUCAAACAACCUUGCAUUCCUCAGAUAAGGAUGAAGAGAAGGCUAUGUGAAGAUGGAAACAGAGACUGGAGUGAUGAAGCCACAAGCCAAGGAAUGCUGUCAGUCACCAGAAACUAAAGGCAAGGAUGAAUUCUCUGAAAGGAAUUUGGCCUUGCUGAUGCUUUGAUUUCAGAUUUCUGGCCUCUAGAACUGAGAGAGAAUAAGUUUCUGUUGUUUUAAGCCCCCGGGGUUUGCAGUAAUUUGUUACAACAAAUCUAGGAAACCAAUAGAUUUUGGUAAUGGUGUAUUACCAUUUUUCCAAUUUGCUCACUUGGAU
This 3936-nucleotide long non-coding RNA is filed under the name Canis lupus familiaris (dog). Its description in RNAcentral is "lncRNA (ENSCAFG00000052594.1)". The stretch from base 3075 to 3148 matches the Rfam family "tRNA". Lineage: Eukaryota; Metazoa; Chordata; Mammalia; Carnivora; Canidae. The record is from RNAcentral.